ACCAAAUUGUACUACUAUUUAAACAAGAAUCAUUAGUAUUUUAUGUAAAAACAUUGGAGGCCUACAGUUGUACCGCACACUCACGCACGCACGCACCCGGAUUUUCUGUAUUUUUUUCUUCGUGACAGACGUGGUUGAUGGCUGGAAAGGACAUUUUCCCUUCGUUAAAGGUUCUCACUGAAGGGGAUAAUUCUCACUGAAACUACAGAAUAAAGCCGCCAGUUAAAAUCAUGGAACGGUUGUGCUCGUGGUUACUGAAGGGAGCUACAAGACCAUUAUUCGUUUCGAAUUCACCAACUCAAAGACGCUUGCCCGCUCCAUCAUAACUCCGUAAGUUUUCCCUCCCUGUGUAGAUCAAACGUCCUGCCUGUAAAUCCUGGGUAUGCCCACAUCAUUAAUGAAUAAGAUGUGUAGAAAACUGUUUAGCCAUAGUUAAAGGCCUUUCAUAAAGCAGCUGUCAUGAUUGCAUGUCCCUUAUGUUUAACACGUAUUGCUUGUUACAGAAUACUACUGUUGUACAUUUAAUAUCCCCUAGCAGAUUUCGUUGCCUUUGCACAAAUUCUGUCAUGUUACUGUGGUCUUUUUAAAAGUCAAUAAAAAUGUGUGUAAAGUGGCCAUGUUUGUUUCACUGUAUAUUUGUUUAAGCCCUCCUAGAAACACCUAAUUAAAGGCCUUUCAUAAAGAGGCAGUCAUGAUUGCAUGUGCCUCAUGUUUAACACGUAUUGCUUGUUACAGAAUACUACUGUUGUACAUUUAAUAUCCCCUAGCAGAUUUCGUUGCCUUUGCACAAAUUCUGUCAUGUUACUGUGGUCUUUUUAAAAGUCAAUAAAUAUGUGUGUAAAGUGUA
Long non-coding RNA from Oncorhynchus nerka (sockeye salmon), 847 nucleotides. RefSeq lists it as uncharacterized. The record is from RefSeq and is a predicted model, not a curated record. The transcript is spliced from 2 exons. NCBI's taxonomy places the organism in Eukaryota, Metazoa, Chordata, Actinopteri, Salmoniformes, Salmonidae.